RNAcentral lists this ribosomal RNA (415 nucleotides) under uncultured microorganism. RNAcentral describes it as "bacterial SSU rRNA". It matches the Rfam family "Bacterial small subunit ribosomal RNA", at positions 9 to 420 of the family's 1533-position model. The record is from RNAcentral.
GAGUUUGAUCCUGGCUCAGAUUGAACGCUGGCGGCAUGCCUUACACAUGCAAGUCGAACGGCAGCAUGAUCUAGCUUGCUAGAUUGAUGGCGAGUGGCGAACGGGUGAGUAAUACAUCGGAACGUGCCCUGUAGUGGGGGAUAACUAGUCGAAAGAUUAGCUAAUACCGCAUACGACCUGAGGGUGAAAGUGGGGGACCGCAAGGCCUCAUGCUAUAGGAGCGGCCGAUGUCUGAUUAGCUAGUUGGUGGGGUAAAGGCCCACCAAGGCGACGAUCAGUAGCUGGUCUGAGAGGACGAUCAGCCACACUGGGACUGAGACACGGCCCAGACUCCUACGGGAGGCAGCAGUGGGGAAUUUUGGACAAUGGGCGAAAGCCUGGUCCAGCAAUGCCGCGUGUGUGAAGAAGGCCUCGG